This 669-nucleotide ribosomal RNA is filed under the name Ramaria sp. Trappe26116. RNAcentral's name for it is "eukaryotic LSU rRNA". The stretch from base 249 to 403 matches the Rfam family "5.8S ribosomal RNA". The record is from RNAcentral. Lineage: Eukaryota; Fungi; Basidiomycota; Agaricomycetes; Gomphales; Gomphaceae.
UUCUUGGUCAAUUAGAGGAAGUAAAAGUCGUAACAAGGUUUCCGUAGGUGAACCUGCGGAAGGAUCAUUAUAGUAAUUGACCGGGAGGUUAGAUGCUGGCCCGCGAGGGCAUGUGCGCGCCUCUCUUUCUCACAUACCCCUUGGUUGGGGAUGCCCUCCCUCGGAGGGGGGCGUUCCCUUCCACCCUAUACCACAUCCUGUCUAAUCGCAUGUCUUGAAUGCUCUACGGAGCGGGUUACAUUUUGUACAACUUUCAACAACGGAUCUCUUGGCUUUUGCAUCGAUGAAGGACGCCGCGAAAGCGCGAAACGUAAUGUGAAUUGCAGAAUUCAGUGAAUCAUCGAAUCUUUGAACGCAUCUUGCGCUCCUUGGUAUUCCGAGGAGCAUGCCUGUUUGAGUGUCGUGAAACCACUCGACCCCUUCCUUUUGAAAAGGAGGGGGUUGGAUUUGGACGCUUGCCGCGGUCUGACGCGGCUCGUCUUUAAAUGCAUUAGCUGGCCCUUUCGAACCGGUGUAAUGUGGACGGUGUGAUAAUUAAACGCUUUGAACGCCGUCCGAGCCGAUUUGGAUUUGGGUUGCUUACAGUCGUCUUCGGACAUUUCAUGUCGUCUGACCUCAAAUCAGGUAGGACUACCCGCUGAACUUAAGCAUAUCAAUAAGCCGGAGGAA